CUCGUUCACACAGAUCUGACUCCGCUGCCGCCGGAUCGCACGCCAGAUCCACCAGUACGCCCAGACCGCGUCCGGAUCCAUCCCGGCCGCCCAUGCUGCCUAUGCGCGCCCCUCCCUCAGCCCACCGGCGACCUCCCAUCCUCCACCGUCUACCCCACCGUCGGAUCUCCUCCUCCCCUCUCCUUCUCUCCCUCGCGGACGCGUCAAACCCACGAAAUUUCCCUCCUCGCGGCCGUAACCCUAGCUCGUGCCUGUGGGGACUGCGCUGGAGGUGCGGCACGGGAUUCGCACUGCAGGAUUCGCCAGCGACGAGUCCAACAGGUCGUCGAAUCGGGGAACGGGAUGGCGCACCCUGCUGCAGCCACCGGUCGGGACGAGCGCGGCGGCGACGAACGUCGGUGCGCCUCCGUUUCCUCGACCUCCAAGGACGCGGGCGCCGGAUUUGUUCUCGCCUGACCAACCUCGGUAUCCAGCUCCCUACAGCCACCGCCGGCGUUGACUCCCAAGGCAAGGAUGACGAUGACGCCAAAGAUGACGAGGCCCCGAGCUCGAGCACGACCACUACGACGCACUACACAAAGGCCCCUGCUUCCUGCCUGCCCUUCCCUUUGCUUGGAAGAUAGCUCUCUCCAGAUGUUGUUCCUGUCCUUCUCCUUGGUUGUUGAGCGCUGCACUCACUCAUGUAUGCAGGUUGAGUCCAAGCACAAGUAAGCACCAUUAUUAGGCGAGAAGACGACGGUGACGCAGAGGAGGACGAGGACCCGCGCUCCAGCCCGACCACGACUAUGCACCGCACGGUCCCUGCUUCCUGGCUGUCGCCAAUUGCCCCCUUCCCUUUACAGUACUACUCUAUUUGUUUUCAUUGCUUUUCACCCAGUUUUGCACACUUUCUGGCCCUUCACUUUUUUGUGUGCAAAUGUUCUGAUCGCCUCCAUAUGGCUGUUUCCGUCCUCCUGCUCGUAUUGUCUCCAUCCUCCUGCUCAAGUCGUCGCCGUCGCCUCCCAUCCUUCAUGGCCUGCGUGUGUGCGCCCACUGUUGGAGGACGACGUUGAACAUGAAGCAGAACCCAGCCGGAGCGGUCUGACGCGGUGGUCGUGGCCAAGGAGCGGUGGUCGAUGCCAUGGAGUAGGGGCCCUCGGUCGCCUGCACAUCGGCUGCGUUCUGAACUAAUGCUUUCUGCAACUGCAAUGUUCCCCUUCACAUUGUAUCUUGUGUAGGCAGAAGGAAUGCAGCUCAGUGACGGCGUCGGCUACAACUGGAUCGAUGGCCUGAAGGCUUUUACUAAGAAGAUGAAGAAUGUUGUAGAAUAGUGUCCAUCAACAAAGAGUCUUACUACUACCGGUUGGAGAGGCUCUAUCCUCAGGUGAUUGAUUACUUAAGAAGUAUACUGAAUUAUGAUAUCCAUCGAUCUAAUUUUGUAUAGGAAGUUUGAAAAACUAAAGAAUCUGUGGUACAUGAUUUGAUUUACUCAUUCAGAUUUUAGUAAAUUGUGACCGGAAGUUUUUUUUCACAAAACCAGUGCACCACCCUUUCUACACACAUCAUUCAUGGAUUGGCAGACUAAAGGUUCUAUUCAACAUCUUUGGUGGAUUGCAUAAAUGGGCUAGAGUAAAAAUAGACCAGAAUUGUUAUAUGUGCUUAGGGAAGUGGGAUUAGAUCAAGAUUUUUUUUGACAAAAUGAGAAAUCAAUGGCUCAAGGAGAGUAAGCCCAAAGAGAUAAGUAUUGUUUUCCUUUAGUAGCUUGCCGCAUAAUUCAUUCAAACAUAUUUAGAGUGGAGCGGGAAUAUUCAAACAAGGAAAUAUACACAAUAUCUGUUAGUAUACAUGUGACACUUUCCCAUCUUUCGACUAAUGAUUGCCUCCUGCCAGGUAUCACUAAUAGCACAUUCAUCACAUCAUUUGUGUAGCUCAUUCUGGUGUAAGUCGGGCCAAUUUAGAAAAGAUUUUAAAGCAGAUUCAUACAUGUUAUAGAAGUCAGAGUCAAAUAGUAUAAUAAGUGAUUUGUUUGUGCAUAAUUUCUAAUUGAUCGUCUUCUAAGGAUAAAUGGAACUGCUACCUUUCCUCUCUCCAAUAAACUAUUAGACCCUGCUUGUAACUAUUUUUCAUCUUGGUGUGAUUUAUAAGGGAGGCCAUGCCAUUAGUUUUUUGUUAUUACAUGCUGUGAUGAUCCCGAUUCAUUGAUGUAUAGUGUCGUAUGUGGUCAAUUACCUAAUAUGGUAGUAUCACUUCUCCUGGUUUGCCUUGGUCUGAAAUCUGACUUUUGGACUGAUUGUAGUCAAUCUGAAUUAGUGAGGUUCUUUUUUCCAACUGUCCAUGUUCAGUUCUCUACAUUAUCAUGCAUUUUCUUUGGUUUAAAGAUGUCAUGAUGUUCACCAAGGCAGAGAAGAAAUGUUUUAAAGUUGUCCCUUCAAUUGAAACAAGUAUGACUUGGUCCUUAGUGCCUAUGCAGACAUGAAAACGGAAGGUCGAGAGGUUUAAAUAUGUCAUGAUGUUUACAAUUGCGGAUAUCCUGCUUCAGGUACUUGCAUGAUAACUCACAAUUUCAACACAGAAGUUACUAAUAUGUAAGACAUGCCCUCUCUCAUUCAAUGAUGUCCUGAAAUUUUCACACAAAGCUUUGUAAUCUUGCCAAGUCACAAGAGAGCCAAGUAAUCAUGCGAAUUUUCAGAGAACUUCAAGUGGCAUGCCACCAUUUGCAAUGGUUGUGAUGUAGUGAUAAUUAAUAAACUGCAGGUCUUCUAAAUAUUCUAAAGUUGCAUAUCUAAGAGCAUAUUAUAUUUCUCAUAAACAACUGGAGUUAAGCUUCUAUCCUCUUCCUGUCUUGAAGGAAUUAUCUGUUGAGUAAGCUACAAUCUCUUUGUUUGACUAGCUAGGCUGUGUUACAUACAUGUAUAAGAUGAUGCUUCUGUGGCUAUAACUGGUGCCUGCCGCGCUAAAUAGGGAACACCCUAUUAAUUACCCACCUCAAUUUCAUUAGUGCGUCCGGCCUGUGAAUUUUACCCCAGACUAUAAAUCCCCUCCAAACGAAACCCUAUAGGUGUACUAUGACUCUUAAUAGUGUAUCCUUGUAAAAGUCAGUGUGUUGCGUUAUUUUUUUUGGUGUGGUUAGAGAACUCGACUCCAUUUGGAACGAGGGUUUGAGUUUUAUUUUUCCUAAACCUUUGAGAGGCAGAGCCAUGGAAAUAUUUUGUGCUCUCAUUCCUCUGGAUGGAAGCUCUAACUUUUCCUCUUUGUUUCCAAUAAGCUACUUUCUUCGAGAUUGUGCAAUGAAGGAUUUUGAUGGUAAGGGAUCGUAGAGCCUCGGGUGACUAGCAUUAAGAUAGGAAGGCUGUUGCCGCCCUUGUCCCUUGCUGCUGUGUUGCCACGGUGGCAUCAAUCACUGGCUUAUUUAGAACAAUAGUUAGUGGAUUUUGUGAUAAGGGUGAGGGCCGAGAGUGAGAGGGACGGGGUUGGGAUUGGUCUGUUGUAUGCGUGAAAUUAUUUCCCUACUUCAGAAAAUAUGGCAAAUUGCAUUUCAUUAGAGAUUGAUUUACAGCAAAUUGCAUGAGCGAGUGGUUCAUGCAUUUUUCAUCAAGUCGUACAUUUUCUUGGUUAUGACAUAAGGGUAAAUGUACUGGUUGGUUGCUUCAAGACUUAAUAACAGACACUAUGACAAUGGCUCAAGAGAUAUCAGAUCUACCUUCUUGGCUGGGGGCGUUAUGGGUGGCGCACGCCUCGACCCCCUUGAUGGCCGUGGUGGAUGGACAUGAACACGAGGGGGGAUCAGGGCGGAGAGCAGGGUGGUUGGCAGGGGACUCAUCCUUGGCAGUUCAUGGGAAAGUACGGUGUGAAGCAGAGGGGGCGCCAUGGCGAAGUGUGAAAGGAGGAAAAUGGUUGCCGGAAAGCAGGUAGAUCUACACCUUGAGAGAUGGCAUUUUGCGGUACAUUGUUUAGGUAUUUGGAUUAUCUAUUAUGUUUCAGAAUUUCUCGAACUAUGGUAUCUCCAUAUCCAUCUAAUGAAUGCCCCCCCAGUAAUUUCAUUCAAGAUAUCUUAAGGAUAAAUUUGGUUUUUGGUGAACUGAAACAAUAUACCAAUAAAAAAUUAGCGCUUGGCUGUACAUAUGAAUGUUAACUUUGUUAAAAUAAUUCUCCCUUUAUAAGAGAAGAUUUCUUAGUUCAAAUAUAUUUUUUGAAAAAAUAUAGUAUUUUCCUGAUAAACCUUUUGAUUCCUCAACAUCCAUAUCUCAGAAGGAUAAUAGUGGUGUGUUUAUGUUGCUUUGGGUCUCUUAUCACUCGGAUCAUUCAUCAGAAAAAUAUUUAAAAAAUAAUUCUAUUUUGACGUUUCCUUUGUGUUCAUUGUUCCAUCAUAGUAGUUUAGGUUCACAUGAAACCAGACCAUAUGUUUCAGUUUCACUCUUUGGACCAUGAUGGUGUUGUGCAAGGUGGGCUACAUCGUAAUGCUAAAAGAAUCAAUGGAGGUUAUUGGAUAGCUUUUAGAUUCUCAAAAAAAUAAUCUAGCAGAUGGAUGAUCCUAUUAUCACGUAUGGUGGUGGUGUGCAAGGAAAUGGAGCAGCAUGAUGGUAGCUAAUGCUGUUAUCUUCACAUAGUAUAGUAUAUUGGGAGCCAAGGCCGAGUAGCAAGCCAUGUGUCACCGCAAGGACAGGAGCGAGAUUUAAUUAAUUGUAUUUGCAAGAUUUGGUCUUCCGUUCUUGUUUUCCUGGUCAUCUCACAGGUCAUUAGUGGUCACUUGAGAUGGGUGCGAUCUGUAGCAUUUGAUCCAGGGAACAAAUGGUUUUGUCCUGGUUUUGCUGAUAGGACAAUAACGGCAAGGAAGAAGGUUGCAGAGCACGGAUGGAUGUGAAAAGGAAGGGGAUGGAUGAGAGAGGAGAGAAGAGGGGUGAAAGAGGAUACAUAUGGAAAGAGGGAGAAGGACAGGGUGGAGGUGCUUCUUGAGGAUUAUUGUCGACUGAUUUCAUACUCUCUUAUAAAUUCAUGGUUAGCUAGGUAAACCUUUUGUACAACAGCUCUUGUUCAAAAGGAAGUUUGAUUUUUCGGCUUCUUAUUUUAGGUCAAUAUCAAGAACAGUUUAGUUAAUUUAGUUUAAUGUUUAUGUUUGAAAUUGACUUUUACCAUUCUGGUUGAAUGGGGGUGUGGAUAGAAGAGAUUGCGAGUCGGGUA
Triticum urartu is the source of this 5157-nucleotide non-coding RNA. Lineage: Eukaryota; Viridiplantae; Streptophyta; Magnoliopsida; Poales; Poaceae. The record is from RefSeq and is a predicted model, not a curated record.